This 489-nucleotide ribosomal RNA is filed under the name uncultured bacterium. RNAcentral describes it as "partial 16S ribosomal RNA". It matches the Rfam family "Bacterial small subunit ribosomal RNA", at positions 28 to 507 of the family's 1533-position model. The record is from RNAcentral.
GAUGAACGCUAGCUACAGGCUUAACACAUGCAAGUCGAGGGGCAGCAUGAACUUAGCUUGCUAAGUUUGAUGGCGACCGGCGCACGGGUGAGUAACACGUAUCCAACCUGCCGAUGACUCGGGGAUAGCCUUUCGAAAGAAAGAUUAAUACCCGAUGGCAUAGUUCUUCCGCAUGGUAGAACUAUUAAAGAAUUUCGGUCAUCGAUGGGGAUGCGUUCCAUUAGGUUGUUGGCGGGGUAACGGCCCACCAAGCCUUCGAUGGAUAGGGGUUCUGAGAGGAAGGUCCCCCACAUUGGAACUGAGACACGGUCCAAACUCCUACGGGAGGCAGCAGUGAGGAAUAUUGGUCAAUGGACGAGAGUCUGAACCAGCCAAGUAGCGUGAAGGAUGACUGCCCUAUGGGCUGUAAACUUCUUUUAUACGGGAAUAAAGUGAGGCACGUGUGCCUUUUUGUAUGUACCGUAUGAAUAAGGAUCGGCUAACUCCGUG